UACGUAGGGUGCGAGCGUUGUCCGGAAUUAUUGGGCGUAAAGAGCUUGUAGGCGGUCUGUCGCGUCUGCUGUGAAAAUCCGGGGCUCAACCCCGGACUUGCAGUGGGUACGGGCAGACUAGAGUGUGGUAGGGGGGACUGGAAUUCUCGGUGUAGCAGUGAAAUGCGUAGAUAUCGAGAGGAACACCGGUGGCGAAGGCGGCUACCUGGACAGAAACUGACGCUGAGGCGCGAAAGCUAGGGGAGCAAACAGG
Molecule: ribosomal RNA, 253 nt
Filed under: uncultured bacterium
Lineage: Bacteria
Description: partial 16S ribosomal RNA
Rfam family: Bacterial small subunit ribosomal RNA
Source: RNAcentral